GGAUGUGAGGACGAUCUGGCUGUGACAUCUGUCACCCCAUUGAUUGCCAGGGUUGAUUUGGCUGAUCUGGCUGGCUAGGCAGGUAUCCCCUUCCUCCUCCACCACUCCAUGUGUGUCCCUCCCGAAGCUGCAAGCUCAGCUGAAGAGGAUGACCAUCCCCUAUAGAGGAGGACUGGUCUUUGGUCAAGGGUAUUCGAGUAGCUAUGCUCCCCUGCUAGAACCUCCAACAUGCUCUCAAGGUCCAUUAGAUUUAAUGAAAGCCAUAGGCCAGACCAUGAAUAGUGUGGGGUUUUAGAUACACAAGAGUGGAUAUGCAGAAAUGUGGUAUUGCUGAUGAUGUGGAUGUGUCAAAUGAGGACCUUUAGUUUUCCUAUGUUU
Gorilla gorilla gorilla (western lowland gorilla) is the source of this 378-nucleotide unclassified non-coding RNA. Its record names the gene 7SK. It matches the Rfam family "7SK RNA". From Rfam's summary of the family: 7SK was discovered as an abundant small nuclear RNA in the mid-70s but a possible function has only recently been suggested. Two independent studies have found that 7SK RNA binds the CDK9/cyclin T complex (known as elongation factor P-TEFb). P-TEFb activates transcription by phosphorylating the C-terminal domain of RNA polymerase II. NCBI's taxonomy places the organism in Eukaryota, Metazoa, Chordata, Mammalia, Primates, Hominidae. The record is from Ensembl.